GCAAGUCAAGUACUCUCAGUUUAUGACACUAGAAACAUGUCAAAUAAAAGCCAAAUUUUGAAUGCGAACUUUUGUAACAUCGAAUAUACCCGUGAUUUUUUUAAUUAAGCGAUAAAUGGCGAUUAAAAAAAGGUAAUAUUUGACAGCCCUACCCACAAGGCAACUUAUCUACUGACAGUUGUGUGGGAGUUUGUGGUGUUUAAUGCCAACCACAGUUAGUGUCGUCUGCAUUAGGAGCAGUUCACUACAACGGUCUGGAGAGAUAUUUCAUUUUAAACUUGUAGUCAUCAACCCUAACCAGCACUGCCUCCAGUGACAUCACCUGAGGCCAUUUAUCAGAUCUCAAAUAGGCUGUGUGAAAUGCCGUGACCUUUACAUUUCUGAGGAAGGAGUGGUUGCUGGAGAGGAGGUAAAUGUCUCAUCAGAGUUCUGACACUCUGCUGCCCCCACGGGUCAGAGUGAGAAUUACACUAAAGGACCAACAAGAAACUCACUGCAGGAUAAAACAACCUAUCAGGUUCUCCAUACUUUUGAAAAAAUCAUGACUACACCUACAGAACAUCAUUAUAAGUAAAAUAUUUAUUUUUUAAGCUUUCAUAGUCAUUAAUCAGCUGUACUUGAAUUAUAAUUGUACAUCAAUAUCAAUAUUGCAGUAGCAUACUAUUGUUGAUCAUAAGAUAGA
Molecule: long non-coding RNA, 682 nt
Organism: Labrus mixtus (cuckoo wrasse)
Lineage: Eukaryota; Metazoa; Chordata; Actinopteri; Labriformes; Labridae
Exons: 3
Source: RefSeq, a predicted model, not a curated record